Long non-coding RNA from Homo sapiens (human), 2540 nucleotides. RefSeq annotates it as long independently transcribed non-coding RNA 2793. Lineage: Eukaryota; Metazoa; Chordata; Mammalia; Primates; Hominidae. The record is from RefSeq and is a predicted model, not a curated record. The transcript is spliced from 3 exons.
AACAUUGCCUGUUGUCCUGCAGGCAGUAGUCCCGCAGCAAGCCAGCAUGCUUUCCUGGGGACAUGAUACCUGAGCUGGGCGUUUAAGGAUGCACUGGAGUUGUCCAGGUGGUGAAUAAGAGAAUGCACUCCAGGCAGAAGGAAGAGCAGGUGCAAAGGCUUAGAGACACGAAAGAGGGUGUUGUAUUUAAGGAAUGCCGGAAAGCAAUGAAGAUUCUAGAGGCACCUGCAUUCCUUGGCUUGUGGCCUCUUCCUCCAUCUCAAAGUGCAUCGCUCCAAUUUCUGCUUCUGUCAUCACAUCGCCUUUUCCUCCAGCUCCGACUCCUCCUGCAUCCAUCUGAAAAGGAUAAUCCAGGAUAUUCUCCCUAUCUCAAGAUCCUUCAUCACAUCUGCAAAGUCUCAGGCUGCUACCAAAGGGGCCACGCAGGACGUCCUCUGGGGAAUGCUGGCUCCCACACCACCCGCCUCGGCUCCUGGGCCAAGGUUUUGCCUUGAUCUGUCCAUCCCACUGCACAUGGCUUCAAGGAGGCAUUCAUGGGAAUCCCUGCUCAGGUCAGGCAGCAUCGUGUCAAGGUCAUGGCCCCUUGAAGAUUCUUUGAGGAAGUGGCUGUUGAGCUCCCAACCCCAGGGCUGGAGCAGGAGGAUCAGACACCCCGGCCUCAGCCCCAGAGCAUGAAAGCCCUCCCCACUCACCCAGCUGCUCUGCAGACCCACACUUGCACACAACUCCAUGUGCCACUGACCAGCUCUGACCUCGUCCUGGGCAAGGCUGGCGGGGCCUAGACCCAAACCCACAACAGUGUGUGGCUCCCAGGGAGGCAGCGUUUCCUGGGCACCAGCUCUUUAGAGAAUGCCUUCAGAAGUCCCCAUCCAGCCUCUCCCCUCAUGAAAUCCUGUCCUUGAAUCAUCCAGCCUAGCCCCCUGAGUAGCUGUGCAUUUCCGAGACCCCGAAUCCAUAAUAUUCAUAUGAAUGAGGUGGAGGGCAGGGAGAAUCGCUGCCAUUUAUUCAACCCUUAAUAAAUGCUGGGGGCUGCACAAAGCACUUUAAAUAAAUACAGCCUCUCAUUUUAAUCCUAAACAGGCCUGUGAGGGAGGUGCCAUGAUUACCCUUGUUUUAUAGAUGAUGAAAGCUAGGGCUCAGAAGAUGAAGUCCUUUACCAAAGGUCACACAGCUAGAAAGCAGAGAGGCCAGGAGUAGCACCCACUUGCUACAAGAGACUGGCCCCUCCAGACACAGUCCUUCCCGACAGCCUCUUUGAGGUUUCCCUGGACCUAGCCCAUCGGGACACUGUCCUCACAGCAAAGUAGCAGCCCCAGGCUGGGCACACGGCAGGAACCCUGUGCUGUGGCCCCCCGACCCAGUCCUGUGAACCCUUCCUUACUCCUCUGGCUCUGCUGGGACCAUGCUCUCCACCCCAGAGCUGGGAUAGCUGGGCCCUCUCCUCGCCCUCUCAUCCCAGCGUCCACCCUCCUGUUCAGAGCUGGACCGUUAGCCCAUGGGCCCCCUAGGAUUCUCUUUGCUUCCAGUUCCCCAGGUGACCAGCAGAUCUGUUAUUCCUCUCAUUUCACUUAUUCAUUUAUUCAGUGGAGUUUAGGGGCAGUCAGGAGGCCCUGGGGACUUGUGAGUGGCUGGUAUCAGCCAAGGGCCAGGUCCAGCCUCUGUGGGUAGACACGAAUGACUUAUUAGGGCUCUGAAAAGGGGCUGUGGAUGUGUCUGCCAUGGUCAGUCCCUGGGGCGAGAGCCAGCGUCCAAGGCCAUGCUUGCCUGCCCUGGUCACCAGAAAGGGCUGGGAGAGGAGGAAGAACUGGGAGCAGGUUAGGACUUCAGAGCUCCCCUAGCUACUCACCAACCUCAGGGACAGGCAGGGGCCAGCCCCUGGAGAAGCCCCCCGUACCUGCUCCCCACCCCACCAUACACACGCAGUCUCCCUACAGUGUCCCCCUCCCUUCCUGGCCCCUGAGUCUCCGAGGCAGCAGGAGGAGCAGCAGAAGAUCCCAGGACGUGAAGUUCAAAGACAGACAGUCACCCCAGCCACCUGUCUCCCAUCACCAUCGCCAUCACCAGGGCCUCUGAGCCCCACACCCCUCCUCACUGCCCAUGUGUCCCCAUUUCUCAGGGUCCCUAUGUUCUGAUGGUGUCACAAGCCCUAGGAGUUAAAAAGUGACAGUUCCCUUCACCUUCUUCUCCUCUCUACAAUCCCCUGCCCCUCCUAGCAGGUGAGCCCCGCUAGCAGGUUGGUGUCUAUUCUACAGACCCUUUUAUGUGCAUUAAAAAAACUCCACAUGGAUAUCACAGAGAUCGACAUAUGUAGGAUUUACUUUACAGAAAUAGCGCCAAGCCAUAUACAUUUUUCUCUGAUGUGCCUUUUUUUAGUAGUGUGGAAAUCUUUCCAUAUUUAUGUAUACACAUCUACCAUAAUUCUUAGCUAUUGCAGAUUUUAUACUGAAAAGAAAACAGAAAGGCUAAGGCUAAAUACCCAUACUCCCAUAGCUUUUUUGUCAAGUACAUGAACGAAGAAGUAAAAGCCUCCAAACAUAGCA